UAUGACAACAACUUAAUCUAACAAGCCAUUCUGGGGGAAAUAUUAAAAAUUCAAUCCAAGUUGACCCCGUGAACAUCAUGGAUUACUUUGAAUGACAAGAAUAAUAAUUACUGACUAGGAGUAUGGAACAAAAUAGAUGUGUUCCAAAAAUCUCACUGAUGCUUCAGAAUGUCAACAAAAACGACCAAAUUCAAGAUUGACAAUGACAGAUCAAACACACGCAGAGCCCUCUAGUGGAAGGACAUCAAAACUGAAUCUGCAGAAAAGCUCACCACUGAAACAUUGGUAACUUCACCGGGUUGAAAGCCUGGCCUGGACCUGUGUUCACACCUGAAAUGGCUUCCUAACCACCACCAGCACGUCUGUCCUUAAUCAAGGCUGAGCACAUCGGUUUACGGCCACAAACACAGACUCAGCCCGGAAGACCUGAGACGUCGCAGUGAGAUAAUAGGGUUUCAUAAUGAUGAUCUUGAGUCUCCUGGACACCAAAGAAGCUUCUCAACCAACAAUAAAUUGCAGAUACUGAAUAGUCAAAACAGAUCUAUUCCAAGCAAGUUGAAUGACCUUGAACUUGUUCUGUGCGCCUGGAGACUCUACCUAGUGAGAUCUUCCUCCGGAGUGGAUUUACUCCUGCUUCCUCUGGACGACAUGGCAGUGCCAACCCCAGAACAACUGUAGUCCCACUGGAAUUCCUUUUUAAAAGACUCAUUUUUCUCCUUUUCUGUUUUUCUGGCAUUUUUCUUGGUAAUUGGAGACUUUGUUUACCAUAGCAUGGAGUUCGACAAGGCACCAUGGGAAAUGGCAGGAAGACAGCAUUCAUCCUUAGGAAUAGAUGUUCAGGAGCACAUAUGGGAAACCUUGCUUGGCGGGUCUUGGUGAGGUUGACCAGGACAGGAAGCAAAACAGGUUGAACUCUCAGG
Long non-coding RNA from Eptesicus fuscus (big brown bat), 920 nucleotides. RefSeq lists it as uncharacterized. The record is from RefSeq and is a predicted model, not a curated record. The transcript is spliced from 6 exons. NCBI's taxonomy places the organism in Eukaryota, Metazoa, Chordata, Mammalia, Chiroptera, Vespertilionidae.